RNAcentral lists this ribosomal RNA (465 nucleotides) under Vreelandella stevensii. RNAcentral describes it as "partial 16S ribosomal RNA". It matches the Rfam family "Bacterial small subunit ribosomal RNA", at positions 338 to 795 of the family's 1533-position model. Lineage: Bacteria; Pseudomonadati; Pseudomonadota; Gammaproteobacteria; Oceanospirillales; Halomonadaceae. The record is from RNAcentral.
CCUACGGGUGGCAGCAGUGGGGAAUAUUGGACAAUGGGGGCAACCCUGAUCCAGCCAUGCCGCGUGUGUGAAGAAGGCCCUCGGGUUGUAAAGCACUUUCAGUGAGGAAGAACGCCUGGUGGUUAAUACCCAUCAGGAAAGACAUCACUCACAGAAGAAGCACCGGCUAACUCCGUGCCAGCAGCCGCGGUAAUACGGAGGGUGCGAGCGUUAAUCGGAAUUACUGGGCGUAAAGCGCGCGUAGGUGGCUUGAUAAGCCGGUUGUGAAAGCCCCGGGCUCAACCUGGGAACGGCAUCCGGAACUGUCAAGCUAGAGUGCAGGAGAGGAAGGUAGAACUCCCGGUGUAGCGGUGAAAUGCGUAGAGAUCGGGAGGAAUACCAGUGGCGAAGGCGGCCUUCUGGACUGAAACUGACACUGAGGUGCGAAAGCGUGGGUAGCAAACAGGAUUAGAUACCCUUGUAGUC